GCUUUAGUCCUCUGCCUUGCUAGGAAGGAGCACGCCCAGCUUGGAGGGCCCUGAGCACCUUGGGAAGAGGGGAGUAGGACUGGGACUCAAGCUCCCAUCUUCGCUGCUGGGGAGCAUCCUUGGUCUGCCUCUCCCUCCCACAACCCUGGUUCCUUUACAGGUUCUGUUUCUGGCACUGCUGUGGGAAUGGGCUUACUGCCUGAGUACAUGGAUCCCCGCUGCAGAGGGAAAAUCGUGAACAGCUUGUACUUGUGUGCACACCCAGGUAUGAGUGUGGGAGCCUUCAGGGACUUCCUGAGGAGCACAUUGGGACAUCUGAAACCUUGGCUUCCUGCUUGGCUCCUUGAGUGGUCCAGGUUAAUAAAGAUUUCAGCUGCCCUUGGUGCAGAGCAUGCUAGAGGCAAGGAAACCACGGACAGGAGCAAAGGCCUCAGGGACUGCUGAGACUGACAGAAGGCUGGGAAUCUGUUGAGAUGUUCGUGGGCAGACAGGAGGCCAGCAGACCACUGCACCAAGGCCCACUCUACUGGCAUGAAUCCUGGGUACCCAGAUCUCAGAGCUCCCCCAAACCCCACUCUCUCCACAACCUAAUUGGGAGCAAGUAGACAUGGCCUUCAAAUGCCCUGGCAAGGACCAGGGUCAGGUUAGAAGGAUUGAGAGGAUGUGGUUGCCCUCCUGCAAACUCCCAGGCACAUUCCAGAGCACCUCCAUGCUGGCUCCCUAGGAGAACCCAUCUCUGGAAAGCGAUCCUCCGGGGCCCCUGGCUCCUCCUGUGGUCAGGAACCCUAACUAGUACAGAUCACCACCCCUUCUCUGGGAGAGACUAGGUCUUCAGCAAGACACAGAGCCUGCUCCAGGGGCAAUCGGGCAUGGUAGAAACAGAUGCUAACCCUGGAACUCUCUAAAACGCCUGGUAAAAAUCAACCCCUGACCUCAGGAAGUUCCCAGUCUGGUGGGAAAGGCUUGGCUCUGAUGGCCGAAACCUUGCUUCUAAGGGGGAGAGACCCCUGUCCUCAGGGAACUAGGAACAUAUGGAAUUCCAAAAGCAUGUUUUCAGGCACAGGAAAAGUUGUCAGGACUGCCUGCUGGAGGGGAUGGAAGAUAUCUAGUUAAGCUGAAGAGAAGGCAACAAACAUCCUAGCAUAAGUAUAUCCCAUACAGCAUUUGAGAUAUACUUAUACUUAGCUCCAUUCUGUGUAACUGGAUAUCCUGUAUUAUUUGCCAAAUAACAAGCAAGUGUCCAGCUUGAGAUAGACAGAGACAGACACAACUCCUCAUGACU
This is a long non-coding RNA of Mastomys coucha (southern multimammate mouse), 1282 nucleotides long. RefSeq lists it as uncharacterized. NCBI's taxonomy places the organism in Eukaryota, Metazoa, Chordata, Mammalia, Rodentia, Muridae. The transcript has 3 exons. The record is from RefSeq and is a predicted model, not a curated record.